GACGAACGCUGGCGGCGUGCCUAACACAUGCAAGUGGAGCGACGAACCGGGCUUCGGCCCGGGGCAAAGCCGCGAACGGGUGAGUAACACGUGGGUAACCUGCCCCGAUGAUUGGGACAACCCGAGGAAACUCGGGCUAAUACCGAAUGUGCCCUCCGGCCACAAGGCCGCUGGGGAAAGGAAGCUUCGGCCUCCGCAUCGGGAUGGGCCCGCGGCCCAUUAGCUUGUUGGUGGGGUGAUGGCCUACCAAGGCGACGACGGGUAGCCGGCCUGAGAG
Molecule: ribosomal RNA, 277 nt
Filed under: uncultured bacterium
Lineage: Bacteria
Description: partial 16S ribosomal RNA
Rfam family: Bacterial small subunit ribosomal RNA
Source: RNAcentral